GCCGGGCGUGGUGGCUCAUGCCUGUAAUCCCAGCACUUUGGGAGGCCAAGGCAGGCGGAUCACCUGAGGCCAGGAGUUCCAGACCAGCCUGGCCAACAUGGUGAAACCUUGUCUUUA
Molecule: non-coding RNA, 117 nt
Organism: Callithrix jacchus (white-tufted-ear marmoset)
Lineage: Eukaryota; Metazoa; Chordata; Mammalia; Primates; Cebidae
Source: Rfam